Molecule: ribosomal RNA, 502 nt
Filed under: uncultured bacterium
Lineage: Bacteria
Description: partial 16S ribosomal RNA
Rfam family: Bacterial small subunit ribosomal RNA
Source: RNAcentral
AAUGAACGCUGGCGGCAUGCUUUACACAUGCAAGUCGAACGGCAGCACGGGUGCUUGCACCUGGUGGCGAGUGGCGAACGGGUGAGUAAUGCAUCGGAACGUAUCCAAUAAUGGGGGAUAACGCAUCGAAAGGUGUGCUAAUACCGCAUACGCCCUGAGGGGGAAAGUGGGGGAUCGUAAGACCUCACGUUGAUGGAGCGGCCGAUGUCAGAUUAGCUAGUUGGUGAGGUAAAGGCUCACCAAGGCGACGAUCUGUAGCUGGUCUGAGAGGACGACCAGCCACACUGGAAGUGAGACACGGUCCAGACUCCUACGGGAGGAAGCAGGGGGGAAUUUUGGACAAUGGGCGCAAGCCUGGUCCAGCCAUGCCGCGUGAGUGAAGAAGGCCUUCGGGUUGUAAAGCUCUUUCGCAAGGGAAGAAACGAUUCAGGAUAAUACCCUGGGUUAAUGACGGUACCUUGAUAAGAAGCACCGGCUAACUACGUGCCAGCCGCCGCGGUAA